This 379-nucleotide ribosomal RNA is filed under the name uncultured eukaryote. Its description in RNAcentral is "partial 18S ribosomal RNA". It matches the Rfam family "Eukaryotic small subunit ribosomal RNA", at positions 592 to 976 of the family's 1831-position model. The record is from RNAcentral.
CAAGAGCGUAUAUUAAAGUUGUUGCAGUUAAAAAGCUCGUAGUUGAACCUUGGGCCUGGCCGUCCGGUCCGCCUCACCGCGUGCACUGGCGCGGCCGGGCCUUUCCUUCCGGGGAUCCCGGUGCCCUUAACUGGGUGCCGUGGGGAACCGGGACUUUUACUUUGAGAAAAUUAGAGUGUUCAAAGCAGGCCUUUGCUCGGAUACCGCAGCAUGGAAUAAUGGAAUAGGACGCGCGGUCCUAUUUUGUUGGUUUCUAGGACCGCCGUAAUGAUUAAAAGGGACAGUCGGGGGCGUCCGUAUUCAGCUGUCAGAGGUGAAAUUCUUGGAUUUGCUGAAGACGAACCGCUGCGAAAGCAUUCGCCAAGGAUGUUUUCAUUAA